RNAcentral lists this long non-coding RNA (1427 nucleotides) under Sus scrofa (pig). RNAcentral describes it as "lncRNA (ENSSSCG00070027735.1)". The record is from RNAcentral. Lineage: Eukaryota; Metazoa; Chordata; Mammalia; Artiodactyla; Suidae.
CUCCCAGGGCUCUCUCCCCUGGCAGGCAUGAUAACAGCUCUGUGCAGUCAGGAGAAGAAAGGAACUGAUGCAUGCAGAGUACCUAGGAGGGCACUUGAUGCAUGCUUGGCGUUUGGUGAACCUUCCUGCCCCACUACCAUCUCUGAGCCAGAGGCUGGGGCAGAGUCGAUGGCUAAAGACUUCAUUAAAACAUCCUUUUCAGAAGGAAGGAAGAGAAAGAAAAAAGAAAGAAGGAAGGAAGGAAGGAAGGAAGGAAGGGAGGGAGGAAGGAAGGAAGGAAGGAAGGAAAGAAGGAAAGAAGGAAGGAAAUGGUUUUGCAGUCAGAAGACCCAGACCAAGUCACUUUACCGCUCCGGAGUCUUGUUUUCCUCAUCUCCCAGAGUGACUGUCAGAAUAUAUGCAAUACAUUCAGUAAUAGUCUAACAGUGCACGUGAAGUCUCUCACAGGUGGAUGUGCUAAAAACAAAGCAUGCUGUCUUCUCCACUUGCCCCUCCAGCUGGGCUCUCCUUUCUCUACCUGGGGAGGCAUCUGGGCUUCUCUGCUCUCUGGCUUCAACUUGGAAUUGGCUGAUGGAAGCGCUGGCGAAGAUUGGUGUCUAAAGGAAGAGAGAGGGGUUGGGUGUUUAUCACCCUGGCUCCCUUUCUCCUGCCGGGCUGAGUUGACUGUGUUGAGUUCAUUUACUUAAGGCCCCAGCUCCUUUCCUGCACUCCUUCCCCACUCCUUCAGGGCUGUGGCUAGUCCCUGGGUGCUCCUCAACCCUAACCCUGCCAAUCCCUUCAGAGGGCUCUCUGCUUCCUGCUGGAACCCCCCACUGCAGAAAGAAGGUCCCGAUAGCCUAAAGGAUAGACCAGCUUUGGGGAAGUCUUCAGAGGUGCAGGGGUGAGAGCCCAGCUGGGAGAGGAGUCUGCAGUGCUGCCUGUCCAGCCGAGCCCUGUGGAGAGCAGCCCUAGUUGAGGCCUUGCUGCCCCAAUCUUCCUCCUGAAUUUUUCAAGAUCAAGGUCUUGUCUAGCCAACUUUGUUCUACCAGCCCAGGUGUCCAGGCUCUAGGACCCUGACUCACACUAGUAAACUCAUCCUGGACCAACUGAUAUGCCCCAAACUAGCAUACUCAUUGAUCCUGAGAAAGAUACAGGCUGAGUAGCAGGAAUCCUGAGGUCAACUGGUCAGGAGCUUCUCUUUCAGGAAUCAGUAGUAUUAUUAUUAAUAAUAACAGUGACCAGAUACUGAGUGCCUACUAUGUGUCUAGAAACUAGGACUUUCAUUCCUUCAUUCAGCAAAUAUUUAUGAAGGGUCUACUAGGAGUUCCCUGGUAGCUCAGUGGGUUAAGGAUCUGAUGUCACUGCUGUGGCUCGAGUUCGAUCCCUGGCCCAGGAACUUCUGUAUGCCACAGAUGCAGCCCAAUAAAAAGGGGGUCUACUAUAUGCCA